GGGGAUAUAGCUCAAUUGGUAGAGUGCUUGCCUUCAAUGCACAAGGCCCUGGGUUCAAUCCCCAGCACCA
This 70-nucleotide transfer RNA is filed under the name Urocitellus parryii (Arctic ground squirrel). RNAcentral describes it as "Spermophilus parryii (Arctic ground squirrel) tRNA". It matches the Rfam family "tRNA". Rfam says of the family: Transfer RNA (tRNA) molecules are approximately 80 nucleotides in length. Their secondary structure includes four short double-helical elements and three loops (D, anti-codon, and T loops). The record is from Rfam by way of RNAcentral. RNAcentral also lists the same sequence under 2 other names. Lineage: Eukaryota; Metazoa; Chordata; Mammalia; Rodentia; Sciuridae.